This 671-nucleotide long non-coding RNA is filed under the name Brassica rapa (field mustard). RNAcentral's name for it is "long non-coding RNA (BRAP_LNC003824)". The record is from RNAcentral. Lineage: Eukaryota; Viridiplantae; Streptophyta; Magnoliopsida; Brassicales; Brassicaceae.
GCAUGUACAAAAUAAGUUUUUUAUAUUUAUGUUUAUUCAUUAAAUAGUUUUAAUAUUUUACAACACUACUAUUUUUAUCAAUUGUAAAAUAACUAAAUAAAUGUAAGUCGCUUAAUUGUAUCAUCGUUGUUGAAUAGUUAAUGUAUUACAUUUCAUUUUAGUUAUUUUUAAAAUUUCAUAUGUACAAAAAAAAUUAAAUUUCACGGCUGACACAAAUCAUCAAAACAAGAUAGGCAACACUAUUGCAAAACGACGAAAGGAAAUUAGGUUUUAUGUUCUCAGUUUUAAUUUGACUCUUCAUAAGUAAUUUCAUUUUUUUACCUCUAUAAAAUUGUGCUUUCGUUCCCGUUUGUGUUUCAUUGAUAGGAGUUUUUUUAUUCUUUUUUUUUUUUACUUUUUCUGUGAAUUCAGUGAAUUACAUUGGUAUCGAUUUUAAAAUCAAAAUUUUGAAGAAAAUCACCAGCAGAUUCUAUUCAUAUGUUAGUGUUUAAAUCUAAUUUAUCAAGCUAUUAUAUAAUAUAAGUGCAAACUCAAAAUAUAAAUGUUUGUCUAGUAUAUAUUCACCAGUUUGGACUAAAAAUCAUAUAUUUCUAAAACAACAAAAUAACUUACUUACUUUAUUAAUAUACGCUUUUGAGGUAUAGUUCUUUAAGAGUAUACCAAUAAAAAAC